AUUCAAACACGAGGAGCGAUUACGAGGGAGUUUUGUCUAUAUAUUAUGCAAAAUCUACUGUUGGGAAAAGUAGAGUCUCAUCCAAAUAAAAAUAAACAAGCUGUUAAAGGCACUGUGUCCUACACAGACCCUCCAAAAUAUAACCACCCAAAACCCAAGUCAGUUGAAGAUCAACACAAACCAAAUAAAGAUGCGCAUUCUACAAACAAUAACAAAAGAUCAAGUUUUGUGUCAAACACACUUAGAUGAGGCGUGCCCGAUCCCUGACUUUGUCUACCCUACAUUAAGUUGCACACUUCAUGACAGUAAACAUCAGUAUCAAGAUGGUGUGAUUGAUCUAUACCCUGGCCUAGAAUAAGCUGCGACACUAUGAGACGGUCACAUAAUGAACAGGCAUCUUACAGACAACCGAAAGAGGCAUACGUAUUCUCUACAAUCCCAAAUUCUGGAUUGACGCCCCAGUACCAGAGGGCACCCCAAUCCCAGAGAGCACGCCAAUCCCAGAGAGCAUCCAUCUGAAAGCAGGUGAGGUAACACAACGAAAAAAUAACAGGAUGGAGACCACCUGAUUCUUCACCUAUGGCCUCAGCUUCAAAUGCAAGAAGCAAGAAAUGCUAUAUGACUGUGUAUUUUGCAUUAUGAAUGCAUUAUGAAUACAUCAAAGAUGUUGAUAACAAGUUGAUCUGCGUAAAUUGUGACAUAAAGAAUAUGUAUAUAUAUUUCCAGCUAUCUUUCUAUAACAUUAUUUCAAUUGUUUUCACAUGUAGGUCCAGCAACUGUCUGAGUUGGUGGAUAUUCUGUCAGAGACUGCGUGAACAAUGUUAUGAACAGAAUGAUGUCUAAUUGUCUUAUGGCCAAGUUCAAUAUGAGCGGUGGUGGACAUCUGGAAAAGAAGGCUUUUAAAGGCACACCUUUGUAUUAUGUUAUUCAAGAUGCUGUGAAGAGGUGGAGCCCAAAUGCCAGCGACUCGGAAAUAGAUGCAGCUAUGGCAGACCACCUCAAGCUGGGGAAGAGCUGGGGGUUGUGAAUACACUAAAUAAGCCAAACAGCUGUAAUGUGUAAAAGAGAGAGUUGACCCAAAAAUGAAAAUUGUUAUAAUUUUCUGACCCACAUGUUUCAAACCUGUAUACAUUUCUAUUUUCUGCUGAACACAAAGAUUGAAAAAUGUUUGUAACCAAGCUAACUGUCAAUAUAUUUUUUUUACAACUGUAGUAAUGGGUUGUGAGAUCUGCUUUCUAUUCUUUCAAAUAUCUUUGUGUUCAGCAGAACAUAGAAAAGUAUACAGGUUUGAAACAUAAGAGAGAGUAAAUUACUAAAUAAUCAUUUUUGGGUGAACUAUCCUUUUAUAUAGUAAAGUAUUUUGAAAUUGUUAUUAUAGUUAAACAGUUUAAAAAAAAUAAAAAGUGCUAAAUCAGAA
Molecule: non-coding RNA, 1417 nt
Organism: Misgurnus anguillicaudatus (oriental weatherfish)
Lineage: Eukaryota; Metazoa; Chordata; Actinopteri; Cypriniformes; Cobitidae
Source: RefSeq, a predicted model, not a curated record